This is a long non-coding RNA of Scophthalmus maximus (turbot), 449 nucleotides long. RefSeq lists it as uncharacterized. The record is from RefSeq and is a predicted model, not a curated record. The transcript has 3 exons. Lineage: Eukaryota; Metazoa; Chordata; Actinopteri; Pleuronectiformes; Scophthalmidae.
GGACACAGAUCUGCUCACCUGCUCCACAGGAAGACAGCGAGCAGUAUGAACAGCAGGAAAACAGCAAGGAUUGUUCCAGUCACCAUUGAUUUCCAUGCACCUGGAUCAAUCAAUUGAUUUAGUUGAUGGCAUGAUGUUUGAUUCAGGUGAAGUGGGUGUCAAGGACUUUGGAGGCAGAAUCUCACCCGUUACAACAGUCAGACGCAAGGUGGCGUGACGGCGUCCUCGUCUGUUCUCGGCUGCGCAGAGAUAAUUCCCACCGUGUUCAGCUCUGAUGUCAGCGAUGGUGAAGAUCUGCACUGAUGCUUUUGGUUUUUUCAAGAAGACGAACAUCAAGGAGAACAUCUUCUGAACGAAGGAACAAUUAUUUACCAACCCUCCAAACAGUGUUUUCUCUGUGAAUUUGUUUUCUUUUUUGCCAUUCUGCUCUACACUUAGUAUCUGACAGG